GGGGGUGUUCCGGAUUCGACCCCUGGUUGGCGCGCACGGCUGCCCUUCGAGAGUGAGGGUCUCUCGUUAAAUCACCUUCAAACAAAAAUAAACGGCACUUACGAAGAAAUGCCCCUGGCUGCCUAAGUAGCAGCCUCGUUCGCGCACUGACACCUGCUAGGUGAUGCGGACGUCGACAGCAGGCAUGGUGGACCGGGCUAUCUGCGGCCGGUUUGCCCUCUCUUCAAUCCGUGGAUUAGUCGACACUUAAGCGCGUGCAGUCGCGUAAUGCCGGCGAGAUAAAUACGGCACUAUGAGGGUAGAUGCUUUGCGCAAAGGUCAGGGGCACGCGGGUUCAAUUCCCGCCACCUCCACCA
RNAcentral lists this transfer-messenger RNA (356 nucleotides) under Opitutaceae. Its description in RNAcentral is "Geminisphaera sp000242935 Standard tmRNA". It matches the Rfam family "transfer-messenger RNA". From Rfam's summary of the family: Bacterial tmRNA, also known as 10Sa RNA or SsrA, is named for its dual tRNA and mRNA-like properties. Its role is to liberate the mRNA from a stalled ribosome. RNAcentral also lists the same sequence under 1 other name. Lineage: Bacteria; Pseudomonadati; Verrucomicrobiota; Opitutia; Opitutales. The record is from RNAcentral.